This 868-nucleotide long non-coding RNA is filed under the name Cyanistes caeruleus (blue tit). RNAcentral's name for it is "lncRNA (ENSCCEG00000011036.1)". Lineage: Eukaryota; Metazoa; Chordata; Aves; Passeriformes; Paridae. The record is from RNAcentral.
CUCUCCCAGCCCCUCUGCUCACUCAGUUUCUGGGGCACCAAGGAGUUUGGGACUGCUGGAACUUGGUUUCACAAGCUCACAGCAUUUCAGAGGUGCAAAGGGCUCCUUCGUGAACAUGGGGCUCAGGUCCCACUGGGCCAAAGGGCAUGGGCAGAUCCUGCAGUGGGGCUGUUUAUGAGGGGCUGAACAAGAACAUGGUGAGCUUCUGGCCUGUUGAAGCUGCUAUGGAAACUCCCAUCAGCUCCACUGAACUCCAAACCAGGCCUGAAAUAUUUUUUCACACCAUGCUACGUGAGGGCUCCCAUCAAAUCAUUCUGCAGGCAGUUGUGUUCUUUCAGGAUACAGAACUUCCAUUUACAGGAGACUCUGGCAGCCUGCUGCUUCCUAGACAGAAAAUCCAGCAAGCAGCCUGUUCCAUCUCCUCACCAGAUUCCUGGUGUCAUUUCUGCAGAGGCAGGACCUCAUCUGUUGCUCCAUCUUGGAGAAAGAACUACAAGGCAGGCUCAAAGGCAGAGGCAGGCUCAAAGCAAGCUGAGCCUUCUGGAAGCCAAAGGAAUGCAAGAAAUCACACAGCUUAAGAAAGCCAGACAAUGCAAACAUCACAUAAAUCUGGGAAGAAGUUUAACCCAAAAUACUUGCUGACCUUUGCUGAUGCUCCCCUUCAUCUCCCCAGUAUUUUAUGCUUCUGAAACCCAGCCCCAGCACUGGCAGAUCUUCAGAGAAGUCAGUUCUUGCACAAACAGGAAAGCAGACUCCCUUCCCACUAAUUUAGGGGGUGUUUCCAGAGGACACAGGGGCAGGGAGGUGUGUUUGCCUCCAGGACCAGGCUUGAGGCUGGUCUGGAAUAAAUUAAUUUCUCAGGUGGGCA